AGAGUUUGAUCCUGGCUCAGAGCGAACGCUGGCGGCAGGCCUAAACAUGCAAGUCGAACGGAUCCUUCGGGAUUAGUGGCGGACGGGUGAGUAACACGUGGGAACGUGCCUUUUGGUUCGGAACAACUCAGGGAAACUUGAGCUAAUACCGAAUGUGCCCUUCGGGGGAAAGAUUUAUCGCCAUUAGAGCGGCCCGCGUCUGAUUAGCUUGUUGGUGAGGUAAAGGCUCACCAAGGCGACGAUCAGUAGCUGGUCUGAGAGGAUGAUCAGCCACACUGGGACUGAGACACGGCCCAGACUCCUACGGGAGGCGGCAGUUAGGAAUCUUGCGCAAUGGGGGAAACCCUGACGCAGCCAUGCCGCGUGAAUGAUGAAGGUCUUAGGAUUGUAAAAUUCUUUCAGCGGGGACGAUAAUGACGGUACCCGCAGAAGAAGCCCCGGCUAACUUCGUG
This 452-nucleotide ribosomal RNA is filed under the name uncultured bacterium. RNAcentral describes it as "bacterial SSU rRNA". It matches the Rfam family "Bacterial small subunit ribosomal RNA", at positions 8 to 507 of the family's 1533-position model. The record is from RNAcentral.